GCGCGCGUGCCCCCAGGCUCCGGCCUGGGGCCGCGGGCCGAAGGGAGGGCGGGGUGGCAGCGCCGGCGGCCCGGGUCCUCCUGGGGGUGGCGUGCGCGGCUCUCACCUCCACCUUCCCGGGUCCCCUCUGCCUCGCCGUGGAAGGCGCCCCGCGUGGCCUCGGGUCCGGUCGCCUGCCCCGCGCCGUCCCGCGUGUCCCUGCGGGACCCGGAUCCCGGGCGCCUUCCUCGCGGACUGCCAGGAGGGCCCAGAGGUGAGCUUGCUGCCCCGAAGUCCACAGCGGAGACCCGGGGCUCUGGGCGUGAGGACUUUCGGCUUUGGGGAAGGUUUAGACACACGCCGCCCGUGUCCCACCCGCGAAGAUGCCACCCCUCCCCAGAGAGUUUUAUUUGAUUUGAUUUUAAUAAGUUGACUCCUCCGACGGACGUGUGUCGUAAAGCAUUCUAGAGAAUGACUGUCACCGGACAGACCGCCUCUGGCACGACGCGAAGCUUUGCUGUCACUUGGGGAGGAAGGAGAAGGAGCCAGGCCGCUGGCAGGAGCGCAGGCAGCGGCAGAGGUAGCCCAGGUCCAGGGGAGCCCGUCCCAAACCCAGGUGUCGGGCUCGAGAGGAACCCAUCCUCCGUGGCCUGCAGGCUUGUGGCUCCUACCGCCGGUGCCUUUAGAGCGAGUCGGCGUGGACACGCACGUUUCAAGGAGCCGGGGCGUCCUGCGAGGCCGAGCGCGGAGAAAGGCCUGGGGCCGGGCUUGCGCCUGAGGGUCUCUCGGAAGGAGCUGGCGGCGCCGGCCGGGCCGCCUUGCAGCCUCGGUCGGCCCUGGGCUCUCGGGCGGGGCGCGGGGAGGCCGGGGAGCGGCGCGGGCCCGGGAGUCGUGCGCGCGGGCGGCGAGGGGGCGCUGUGGCCCGCGGCUGCGGCCUGGUCCCUGCAGCGGUGGCCCCGGCGCAGUCCCCGGCCACUGAACGGCGGUGGGCGCUCUCGCCCCGGCCCGGCCUACGUCUGCCCGCGUCGCUUUAACUUGGGGAAGAAGGAAAACUAGGCCGGGGCGUUUUGAUGAACCGAAGCCGCGCAGGGACUUGGCUUCACUCUGUCUCACUGCCGACGCUGGCCGCCGUGAAGUGCGCGAAGGGCAGGUCCCAACGAGACGCGAAUCUCUCUCUGGCGCGGGUACCUCCGGGCUCGUCCGACGGGGCUGCAGAUGCGACGCUCCUCGG
Molecule: RNA transcript, 1210 nt
Organism: Leopardus geoffroyi (Geoffroy's cat)
Lineage: Eukaryota; Metazoa; Chordata; Mammalia; Carnivora; Felidae
Gene name: protein SPT2 homolog
Exons: 4
Source: RefSeq, a predicted model, not a curated record